This 498-nucleotide ribosomal RNA is filed under the name uncultured bacterium. RNAcentral's name for it is "partial 16S ribosomal RNA". It matches the Rfam family "Bacterial small subunit ribosomal RNA", at positions 30 to 523 of the family's 1533-position model. The record is from RNAcentral.
AUUGAACGCUGGCGGCAUGCCUUACACAUGCAAGUCGAACGGUAACAGGUCUUCGGAUGCUGACGAGUGGCGAACGGGUGAGUAAUACAUCGGAACGUGCCUAGUAGUGGGGGAUAACUACUCGAAAGAGUGGCUAAUACCGCAUGAGAUCUACGGAUGAAAGCAGGGGAUCGCAAGACCUCGUGCUAUGAGAGCGUCCGAUGGCGGAUUAGGUAGUGGGUGGGAUAAAAGCUUACCAAGCCGACGAGCUGUAGCUGGUCUGAGAGGACGAUCAGCCACACUGGGACUGAGACACGGCCCAGACUCCUACGGGAGGCAGCAGUGGGGAAUGUUGGACAAUGGGCGCAAGCCUGAUCCAGCAAUGCCGCGUGCAGGAUGAAGGCCUUCGGGUUGUAAACUGCUUUUGUACGGAACGAAAAGCCCCGGGUUAAUACCCUGGGGUCAUGACGGUACCGUAAGAAUAAGCACCGGCUAACUACGUGCCAGCCGCCGCGGUAA